AAGGGGGGACGGAGAAGGCUAUGUUGGCCGGGCGACGGUUGUCCCGGUUUAAGCGUGUAGGCUGGUUUUCCAGGCAAAUCCGGAAAAUCAAGGCUGAGGCGUGAUGACGAGGCACUACGGUGCUGAAGCAACAAAUGCCCUGCUUCCAGGAAAAGCCUCUAAGCAUCAGGUAACAUCAAAUCGUACCCCAAACCGACACAGGUGGUCAGGUAGAGAAUACCAAGGCGCUUGA
RNAcentral lists this ribosomal RNA (232 nucleotides) under Salmonella enterica subsp. enterica serovar Kentucky. RNAcentral describes it as "partial 23S ribosomal RNA". It matches the Rfam family "Bacterial large subunit ribosomal RNA", at positions 1464 to 1693 of the family's 2925-position model. The record is from RNAcentral. Lineage: Bacteria; Pseudomonadati; Pseudomonadota; Gammaproteobacteria; Enterobacterales; Enterobacteriaceae.